This is a long non-coding RNA of Oreochromis aureus, 1100 nucleotides long. NCBI's taxonomy places the organism in Eukaryota, Metazoa, Chordata, Actinopteri, Cichliformes, Cichlidae. The record is from Ensembl.
AUGUUUUACAAAAUCAAUAACAUUUUUCGAGCCAUUAUUUACACUUUGUAUUUGAUAUAUUCCUUCAUAACAAGUCUGUCUAAGCACAUAAUCUGCUAAGAGCUCCAGAAAGCUUAUAUAACAUAGAAAAAUGUUGUAUUAUUUUUAGCAUACCUUACAAGUCUCCAGCUUAAAUCAGUGGCAAGUAUGUGUAACCCAUAUCAACUACUCCCUGUCACAUGACCCACGUCAGCUGAUUUGAGGUCCCUCUCCUGAUUGGCUCCUUCCACGUCGCAGCAACUCUGAAAACCGGCUGUGGAGGGAUACUUCCGGGUUCGACUCCUGCUGUGGCUGUAAGCUUAUGGUGUGUAGAACGGCGUUGGAAAACAAAGCGUUUUCUCCCCUAAAUUCGUCUAUAAAAUUGUAUCACCUCAGCGGUCAGGUUUUUUUUCCCCCUUUAAAUUGAUCUUCUUCAUAUUGAAGUGGCGAGCUGGUAGGACCAUUCUUUGUUUUUUCCCCUCUUUUCCCCCGCUUUGCCGUCUUUGGAUUACGGACAUAUUUCCCCAUUGUAUGAAACUGGACCCUAAGGAGGAAUACCUUAAAAGUGAACUUUAAAAACAAGAAAAGGACCAAAAAGGACUCUUAACAAAAGGACUCUUGCACAGAAAAUCACAGCAAUUGAUUUAUUAUUUAUUACACAAUUAUUUAAUUGUGGGCAUUUAUUUAUGUUGUAUUGAUUAUUUUGUUCCAUUUCCCCUUUCCCCCAUUUAUUCAAUAUAUUUUUGGUACAAGAUAUUGCAGUCUUUGGUCUCAUCAUUCACACCAUCUAUGCUCCAUAAAGAACUAUUUCUUCUGCGCGUCAGUCAGUAAACUCAUCCAUUGCAAUAAAACUAGCCCUUAAUUAACUUUGCGUUACAUAUGCAGACUGACAAACAUAUGUUCAAUUUCUUACAUAUUGUGCAAAACAGGCCUUGGUGAGAUUGUUUUCCCUCUCAACAGGUACAAUGUGAUCUUUUGUGGAGUGGAUGUCUACUCGAGGAAGGUAAAGUAAUAAAUGUUCUAAGUAGAAUGUUUGGUAGUUACGAAAUAACAGCUUUCUUAGGUCAUCUUUUUUAUAAAGA